GAAAAUGAUCAACUUUGCGAUAUACUAACAUCGUCUCGAAACGAGACAGAAUCAUAUAAAAAGAAGCUUUUGGAAUCAGAUAAACGAUUUGAACAAUUGUCUGUGAUUUGCGAAUCAUAUAAAAAGCAGCUUUUAGAGAAAGAUAAAACAGCUGAACAAUUCUCAUUUGUUUGUGA
Physella acuta is the source of this 176-nucleotide long non-coding RNA. RefSeq lists it as uncharacterized. NCBI's taxonomy places the organism in Eukaryota, Metazoa, Mollusca, Gastropoda, Physidae. The record is from RefSeq and is a predicted model, not a curated record.